This 433-nucleotide ribosomal RNA is filed under the name uncultured bacterium. RNAcentral describes it as "partial 16S ribosomal RNA". It matches the Rfam family "Bacterial small subunit ribosomal RNA", at positions 29 to 507 of the family's 1533-position model. The record is from RNAcentral.
AACGAACGCUGGCGGCAUGCCUAACACAUGCAAGUCGAACGAGACCUUCGGGUCUAGUGGCGCACGGGUGCGUAACGCGUGGGAACCUGCCCUUAGGUUCGGAAUAACUCCCCGAAAGGGGUGCUAAUACCGGAUAAUGUCUUCGGACCAAAGAUUUAUCGCCUUUGGAUGGGCCCGCGUUGGAUUAGCUAGUUGGUAGGGUAAAAGCCUACCAAGGCGACGAUCCAUAGCUGGUCUGAGAGGAUGAUCAGCCACACUGGGACUGAGACACGGCCCAGACUCCUACGGGAGGCAGCAGUGGGGAAUAUUGGACAAUGGGCGAAAGCCUGAUCCAGCAAUGCCGCGUGAGGGAUGAAGGCCUUAGGGUUGUAAAGCUCUUUUACCCGGGAUGAUAAUGACAGUACCGGGAGAAUAAGCGCCGGCUAACUCCGUG